Molecule: small nuclear RNA, 170 nt
Filed under: Chrysemys picta bellii (western painted turtle)
Lineage: Eukaryota; Metazoa; Chordata; Testudines; Emydidae
Description: U2 spliceosomal RNA (ENSCPBG00000015534.1)
Rfam family: U2 spliceosomal RNA (bases 1-149)
About the family: U2 is a small nuclear RNA (snRNA) component of the spliceosome (involved in pre-mRNA splicing). Complementary binding between U2 snRNA (in an area lying towards the 5' end but 3' to hairpin I) and the branchpoint sequence (BPS) of the intron results the bulging out of an unpaired adenosine, on the BPS, which initiates a nucleophilic attack at the intronic 5' splice site, thus starting the first of two transesterification reactions that mediate splicing.
Source: RNAcentral
UACUAUCUGUUCUUAUCAGUUUAAUAUGUGAUAUGUCCUUAAUUUGAGGACUGUAUAUUAAAUUGAUUUUUGAAACGGGGAUGGAAUAGGAGCUUGCUCUGUCCACCCUAUGUAUUGACCUGGCAUCCGACGAAGUGGGUAUUCACCCACAAAAGUUCAUGUUCCAAUAC